This 253-nucleotide ribosomal RNA is filed under the name uncultured bacterium. RNAcentral describes it as "partial 16S ribosomal RNA". It matches the Rfam family "Bacterial small subunit ribosomal RNA", at positions 524 to 776 of the family's 1533-position model. The record is from RNAcentral.
UACGUAGGGGGCAAGCGUUGUCCGGAUUUAUUGGGCGUAAAGGGCGCGCAGGCGGCCUUUUAAGUCAGUUGUGAAAGGUCUCGGCUCAACCGAGGAGUUGCAGCUGAAACUGGAAGGCUUGAGUGCAGGAGAGGAGAGCGGAAUUCUCGGUGUAGCGGUGGAAUGCGUAGAGAUCGGGAGGAACACCAGUGGCGAAGGCGGCUCUCUGGUCUGUAACUGACGCUGAGGCGCGAAAGCGUGGGGAGCAAACAGG